UUAUCCGGAAUUACUGGGUGUAAAGGGUGCGUAGGUGGGUAGACAAGUCGGAAGUGAAAUCCCUGGGCUCAACCCUGGGAACUGCUUUAGAAACUGUUGUGCUUGAGUGCUGGAGAGGUAGGCGGAAUUCCCGGUGUAGCGGUGGAAUGCGUAGAUAUCGGGAGGAACACCAGUGGCGAAGGCGGCCUACUGGACACUAUCUGACGCUGAGGCUCGAAAGUGUGGGUAGCAAACAGGAUUAGAUACCCUGGUAGUCCACACCGUAAACGAUGAUUACUAGGUGUUGGAGGAUUUACCACC
RNAcentral lists this ribosomal RNA (300 nucleotides) under uncultured bacterium. RNAcentral's name for it is "bacterial SSU rRNA". It matches the Rfam family "Bacterial small subunit ribosomal RNA", at positions 541 to 841 of the family's 1533-position model. The record is from RNAcentral.